UGAAGAAAUCAAACUGUUUAAUAGGGGAAGGCAAAGCGAAGGGGUGAGCUGGGAGGGAAAAAAGGGGAUGGGCAGGGCCCAAGGGCUGGAGGGAGGGAGCUGCCAACAGGGAGAGAGAUGCAGGAGGUCCUGGAGCUUCCAACAGGUUCAGCUAGGACCAGCAUCAGCUGGAGCUGGAGCUGGAGCUGGUCCCCUCUGCUCUGCAGGUGGUCCCAUCUUCAGUGGGAUCUGGAGGUCGCUGAGGGACACCGGUUCUACUGAUCCAGCAGACGAAGUUGAGCAGAUCUUCUGUCAAAGGUCUGCUAGAUAAAGUUAUUAUAAACAGGCAAAAAGGAAAAUGAGGCUGGUGACUUUUAAAAAUGGUGAGCCUGUUUAUUAAAGACCUAGAGCAACUGGGGAUGAGAGCUCAGGAUAAGUCAGAGUGACAGUAACUGUGUGCUACACAGGGUGCUUCUUUGGACACAAGUUCUGCAGAAGUGCCCAGGUGCUGGGCGCCUGGGGGGUUUUAAGGUCUCUUAAAGCUGCUGGACUGGUGUGCUUUCAGUCCUCUCCCUGAUUAGUCUUUCUGCUGUGUGCUGGUGAGGUAUUGUGAUACAUUCCUGAGCAAUGAUUCUGGAAUUCUCUGAUCUUGCUGGCUCGUUCUCCAGUCACAGUCCAAAGUGCUGUCAUCACUCCACGAGGAACUCUACAAAUCUCAAUGGCCUUGAGGACCAUAAGAAUUCAGCACAAGACCAGCAUCACAAACACAACAUUUUUACUCCUGGCUAUUCCUCCUCUCCAACAGAACUGGAAGAUAAG
Molecule: non-coding RNA, 798 nt
Organism: Cyanistes caeruleus (blue tit)
Lineage: Eukaryota; Metazoa; Chordata; Aves; Passeriformes; Paridae
Source: RefSeq, a predicted model, not a curated record